RNAcentral lists this long non-coding RNA (275 nucleotides) under Elaeis guineensis (African oil palm). Its description in RNAcentral is "long non-coding RNA (EGUI_LNC014171)". Lineage: Eukaryota; Viridiplantae; Streptophyta; Magnoliopsida; Arecales; Arecaceae. The record is from RNAcentral.
CCCUAUCCUCUUCCUUCCGUGACUCCCCAACCCCUAGAUGGUCGGAUGCAUCGCGGAUGCCAGGUUCACCACACUGCCUUCUCGUCUGUGAUUGGGCCACCUCACUAUCUUCGCACUACCCUCCAGAUUCCAUCGACGUAUCUUUUGGACUUAAACCUUCAUUUAGUUAUAUCAAAUUUUGCUUAUAACAAUUUUAGAGCAGCUAAAGCUUUGAACUCAGGAUGUUUAUAUCACAAGCUCAUCUGGAAGCACACAUUACAUGGAUAUUGUGUGAG